Molecule: ribosomal RNA, 758 nt
Filed under: uncultured bacterium
Lineage: Bacteria
Description: bacterial SSU rRNA
Rfam family: Bacterial small subunit ribosomal RNA
Source: RNAcentral
ACAGUUUGAUCCUGGCUCAGGACGAACGCUGGCGGCGUGCCUAACACAUGCAAGUCGAGCGGAGGUAUGAUGUAGUUUANNNCUGAUUAUCUUAGCGGCGGACGGGUGAGUAACACGUGGGCAACCUGCCUCAGAGUGGGGGAUAACACCGAGAAAUCGGUGCUAAUACCGCAUAACAUACAUUGGCUGCAUGGCCGAUGUAUCAAAGGAGUAAUCCGCUUUGAGAUGGGCCCGCGGCUGAUUAGCUAGUUGGUGAGGUAAUGGCUCACCAAGGCGACGAUCAGUAGCCGACCUGAGAGGGUGACCGGCCACACUGGAACUGAGACACGGUCCAGACUCCUACGGGAGGCAGCAGUGGGGAAUAUUGCGCAAUGGGGGAAACCCUGACGCAGCAACGCCGCGUGGAGGAAGAAGGUCUUCGGAUUGUAAACUCCUGUCUUCAGGGACGAAUAAAUGACGGUACCUGAGGAGGAAGCCACGGCUAACUACGUGCCAGCAGCCGCGGUAAUACGUAGGUGGCGAGCGUUGUCCGGAAUUACUGGGCGUAAAGGGCGCGUAGGCGGCUCUUUAAGUCAGAUGUGAAAACCCAGGGCUUAACUCUGGGACUGCAUUUGAAACUGAAGGGCUUGAGUGCAGGAGAGGUAAGUGGAAUUCCUAGUGUAGCGGUGAAAUGCGUAGAUAUUAGGAGGAACACCAGUGGCGAAGGCGACUUACUGGACUGUAACUGACGCUGAGGCGCGAAAGCGUGGGGAGCAAAC